RNAcentral lists this ribosomal RNA (872 nucleotides) under uncultured bacterium. Its description in RNAcentral is "bacterial SSU rRNA". It matches the Rfam family "Bacterial small subunit ribosomal RNA", at positions 55 to 942 of the family's 1533-position model. The record is from RNAcentral.
AUGCAGUCGAACGAGCCGAGGGGAGCUUGCUCCCCAGAGCUAGUGGCGGACGGGUGAGUAACACGUGAGCAACCUGCCUUUCAGAGGGGGAUAACGUUUGGAAACGAACGCUAAUACCGCAUAACAUACCGGGAUCGCAUGAUUCUGGUAUCAAAGGAGCAAUCCGCUGAAAGAUGGGCUCGCGUCCGAUUAGCUAGUUGGCGGGGUAACGGCCCACCAAGGCGACGAUCGGUAGCCGGACUGAGAGGUUGAUCGGCCACAUUGGGACUGAGACACGGCCCAGACUCCUACGGGAGGCAGCAGUGGGGGAUAUUGCACAAUGGAGGAAACUCUGAUGCAGCGACGCCGCGUGAGGGAAGACGGUCUUCGGAUUGUAAACCUCUGUCUUUGGGGACGAUAAUGACGGUACCCAAGGAGGAAGCUCCGGCUAACUACGUGCCAGCAGCCGCGGUAAUACGUAGGGAGCGAGCGUUGUCCGGAAUUACUGGGUGUAAAGGGAGCGUAGGCGGGGUCUCAAGUCGAAUGUUAAAUCUACCGGCUCAACUGGUAGCUGCGUUCGAAACUGGGGCUCUUGAGUGAAGUAGAGGCAGGCGGAAUUCCUAGUGUAGCGGUGAAAUGCGUAGAUAUUAGGAGGAACACCAGUGGCGAAGGCGGCCUGCUGGGCUUUUACUGACGCUGAGGCUCGAAAGCGUGGGGAGCAAACAGGAUUAGAUACCCUGGUAGUCCACGCCGUAAACGAUGAUUACUAGGUGUGGGGGGACUGACCCCUUCCGUGCCGGAGUUAACACAAUAAGUAAUCCACCUGGGGAGUACGACCGCAAGGUUGAAACUCAAAGGAAUUGACGGGGGCCCGCACAAGCAGUGGAUUAUGU